Molecule: ribosomal RNA, 429 nt
Filed under: Chloroflexota bacterium
Lineage: Bacteria; Bacillati; Chloroflexota
Description: Chloroflexi bacterium partial 16S ribosomal RNA
Rfam family: Bacterial small subunit ribosomal RNA
Source: RNAcentral
UGGGGAAUAUUGCACAAUGGGCGCAAGCCUGAUGCAGCCAUGCCGCGUGUAUGAAGAAGGCCUUCGGGUUGUAAAGUACUUUCAGUCGGGAGGAAGGUGGUAAGGUUAAUAACCUUAUCAAUUGACGUUACCGACAGAAGAAGCACCGGCUAACUCCGUGCCAGCAGCCGCGGUAAUACGGAGGGUGCAAGCGUUAAUCGGAAUUACUGGGCGUAAAGCGCACGCAGGCGGUUGAUUGAGUCAGAUGUGAAAUCCCCGGGCUUAACCCGGGAGUUGCAUCUGAUACUGGUCAGCUAGAGUCUUGUAGAGGGGGGUAGAAUUCCAUGUGUAGCGGUGAAAUGCGUAGAGAUGUGGAGGAAUACCGGUGGCGAAGGCGGCCCCCUGGACAAAGACUGACGCUCAGGUGCGAAAGCGUGGGGAGCAAACAGG